GGAUGUGAGAGUGAUCUGGCUGCUACAUCUAUCACCCCAUUGAUCGCCAGGGUUGAUUCGGCUGAUCUGGCUGGCUGGGCAGGUGUCCCCUUCCUCCCUCACCAUUCCAUGUGCAUCCCUCCAGAAGCUGCAUGCUCAGUAGAGGACGACCUUCCCUGAAUAGAAGAGGACUGGUCUUUGUUCAAGGGUAUAUGAGUAGCUGUGCUCCCCUGCAAGAACCUCCAAACAAACUCUCAAGGUUCAUUGACAAUUUCUUAUAGCAUAUUUUAAUACAUUAUUUUACAUUGACAGACUCCUCU
Molecule: small nuclear RNA, 299 nt
Filed under: Mus spicilegus (steppe mouse)
Lineage: Eukaryota; Metazoa; Chordata; Mammalia; Rodentia; Muridae
Description: 7SK RNA (ENSMSIG00000005464.1)
Rfam family: 7SK RNA
About the family: 7SK was discovered as an abundant small nuclear RNA in the mid-70s but a possible function has only recently been suggested. Two independent studies have found that 7SK RNA binds the CDK9/cyclin T complex (known as elongation factor P-TEFb).
Source: Rfam by way of RNAcentral